This is a long non-coding RNA of Xenia sp. Carnegie-2017, 731 nucleotides long. RefSeq lists it as uncharacterized. The record is from RefSeq and is a predicted model, not a curated record. The transcript has 2 exons. Lineage: Eukaryota; Metazoa; Cnidaria; Anthozoa; Malacalcyonacea; Xeniidae.
UGUGUCUAAAUAUACAUGCUAAAACAGUUGAAGAUGGAAAUUGAAAAAUGUAGUUCUUUUAUGUCGACAUAAUCUGCGCUAUUUAAUAUUACUUAAGUAUACGUUACAAUAAUUGAAGAUACUUCCCCUUACCCUGAAUUCAUUUGAUUCUUGUGCUCAAGUGAACCUGCAUAUGUUUGCAAUUCUUGAUUGUAUUCUCUAGUGAUCAUUUACCCUACUGUCUUUAUUACACAAUCCCUGUUUUCAAUGUUAUUUCAUCAUUUUUAGACAAAUCCAUAUUUACACAUUGAAGCAAGUGCUGAGGAGAUUGAGGCGGCAAGGGAGAAAGAUGAAUUAUUGAAAAAAAAAUCUGAUUAUUACUUACAACCAUUGCUCAUUUCCAAUAAAUUACAUGGCUAUGACUCCAAUGCACCAUUACCCACCCCUCCCACAGAUGCAUACACGGCACCUACAGUUCCUUUACCUGAAGUUGCUGUUGAACCAUCUACACAGAAAUUAAAAGAUGCUGGUUCUUACGAAAGGCUAGCAGACGAUACCUCUCCACGAAAAGGAGCAUCUUAUAAGAAUGAAGACGCAAUAAGAUUAGAAAAUAUGACAGCGACAAAUCACAACGACACUAAAGAUGUUCAACAGCCUGAGAAGAUAGAGUCCAUUGUUUGAAGCAUAUUGUUUACAUUAUUUUGUGAAUUGGAAACGAAGAUACGUAGGAACUGCCAAUUGAAGAAUUUUAA